GCCGUCAUCGCCCGAGCUCUGCACAAACUCUUCCAUGUCCUGAAUAGAAGAAGGGCACCAAACAGUGGAACCUCAAAGGCAACCGAGAUGACACUGUCUGGGGUCUGAUGACUGACACCAAAAUGAUCCUUACCUUGUUGUCAACGUUGUCAUGAGCAGGAGAGCAGAGGGAAGAGCCAGCUUUGGACACGCACGCAGAAAAGGCGGACACGUCGGACAACCCACCGUCACAAACACCAUUACGCCGUUCAACAUGGCCGCGAGCCACAUUUGAAUCCGACCUGAUUGGCCCACAAAAGGAAGCUGGGGUUGACGCUGGGAAAUGGUGCUGGAUCGGGAAUGGCCUCCUCGGGUUGAGGAGGAAGUGGAGAAGCAGGAGGAGGAGGAGGAAGAGGAAGUGGAUGGACUGGACCUGACUGGGCCGGCUGAGCUUCAUACAGGGAGGUGGCAUUGCUAAACAGCUGACAUCAGGAAAAUAAUAUGAGGAAUACCUUCAGGACCUUGUGCGGCACCUCUGGCAACAUCUCCGCCAGCUGCGUCAGGGUGGCGCCGAGUAGCCAUGGCAACGAGGGCACCCUCCGAAGCA
Long non-coding RNA from Hippocampus comes (tiger tail seahorse), 586 nucleotides. RefSeq lists it as uncharacterized. The transcript is spliced from 7 exons. The record is from RefSeq and is a predicted model, not a curated record. NCBI's taxonomy places the organism in Eukaryota, Metazoa, Chordata, Actinopteri, Syngnathiformes, Syngnathidae.